GGUUAGCGAUUAUCGGAAACGGUAUGUCGCGCAGCUACGCCGUCUGGGAUAAUGGCUGAAAGCCUCUUAAGCCAGAAGCCCAUCUAGAAAGUGAUGCACGUGAUGUUGGACCGAUACGAAUAAUCAUACUCAAAAGGUCCGCUUCAUAGGUAACCCAAUGUAGAAGACAUUGUGUGAACGAAGGUACUGUAAGCAGUGGAGUGGCAUUACGUCCACGACCUGUUGAGGUUCAGCUUCGCUUCUAGGUUUCCAAAUAUUUUGG
RNAcentral lists this non-coding RNA (262 nucleotides) under Trichomonas vaginalis G3. RNAcentral describes it as "Archaeal large subunit ribosomal RNA". It matches the Rfam family "Eukaryotic large subunit ribosomal RNA", at positions 3062 to 3401 of the family's 3401-position model. Lineage: Eukaryota; Parabasalia; Trichomonadida; Trichomonadidae. The record is from Rfam by way of RNAcentral.